UGAGCGACUGAUCAGCGGCAGGCACGACACUAGGGGCGGCCGCCGCCGCCUGCUCCACAUGCGAUGCCAGGUGCGCCGCCGUGGCCACCUGUAACAACAACUAAUCCUCCCUGCCUCCUCAGCUAACCUUCACCACGUGUCUCCACUUCUCCCCCAACAACUCCUGCCCAACAUAACGAUGGUGAUGACGACGCGGUGGUUCAAAGCCGGCCUUCUUGGCAUGAGGCGCUCCUGGUGGGCAGCCUCCGACUAACAUCUCUCUCGUGAUUGACCUACCUAGAGAGCUUGUCAGAGGAAGAGAUAGUGGGCUUAAGAGAGAAAUUCUUAAAUACCUUGGCACAAUUACAAAAUUAGAAAUAAGACAAGUGAUGUAGUUGGUAUAUUAGUCUCUUGUCUUUGAUGCUUAACACUUUUCUCCUUUGUCAUGUCUCUGCGCACUUACCUUAUUUGCAGUUUAUGCUAUAACCAGCAGUUUGCUUUUCUAUUGCAGAGGUACAUAAGAGGCGGUGAACUGAAAAAACUAUGAAGAAUUAUAAUAUGUGCAAUAAUUGAGAUAACAAUGAAUGGAAAUGAUUGUCCAAGUGGAUGCAUAUCAUAUGAGUAACUCCAGGAAAUGACUAAAUAGCUCUACUGUCUUAUGCUUAGCAUAAAUAAACUAUAAUGCAUUAUCGCUGUAAGGAAGAUGUAUUGACAUGAUGUUGCAUGUUAUGAACGGACAUCUUCCUCUGCCCCAUUUAUUCUUUCUUAUUUACUAAAUAUUCCACUUCAUAUUGGGUACUAAUUGCAUAAGAAAUCUUAUUUUGCAUACUACAUCCAGUAAUUAAGUGUUUCUAGGUAACUUAUAUUUGGAAUUCUUUUAUUACAGGUCCACAUUUGGGACAGAAAACAUGAUAUAAGGUCACAUGAAAGAUGAAACUUGUUUACUGCCUUUUCAUCCGCAGGUGGAUAAUAUGCCUUCCAAUGAAGGAUCCAAUGAUUAGUUAUGAGUCCCUCAUUGCAAACAAAUAUCUAGAAUGACAGUGAAUGUUAGAUCGAGAUAAAAUUCAGUACAAUUAGUUGACAGACACAGACAAGGGCUUCACUCCUAUGAAGAUCUUUGUGGUGAUGAAGUGGAUUUGUAUUUCUGGUUAUAUGCUUCUAGAGAAGGUUGUGUAUGUGAACAAGGAGAAAACUUUUGAAUCAUCUACUUGACAGGUCGCAAAGUUAUCACAGAUGCAAUGUAUUGAUGUUAUAAGUCCGAAGUCAAGCAGAGUGGUGCUAAGGACCUAAGGUACCAACUGAAUGUACGAGCAAAAACAUAAUUCAUAUGCAAGUACAGGAUGCUGGAUUCUUUAAUUGUAUGAGUACCAAAUUAAAGCAAAUGGAUUACAUAGGAGAAAACACCAUGUCUGUUUCAUUAAACACUAUCCCACAUUGUGUGUAAUGCAGAAACAAUGAAUGAUGAUCUCCAGGCAGAUAAAUUCAGAUUGUUUAUCCCUCUCCAGUCAUGCAAUAUGGUGUUUCUUUUACUUAUUGUAUCCGUCGGUUUAUUUAUGAAAUUGUAAUGCACAUAUUGUGGAAUAGAUACUGAACUCCGCUUUCGUAGAGAU
Triticum dicoccoides is the source of this 1589-nucleotide long non-coding RNA. RefSeq lists it as uncharacterized. The record is from RefSeq and is a predicted model, not a curated record. The transcript has 5 exons. NCBI's taxonomy places the organism in Eukaryota, Viridiplantae, Streptophyta, Magnoliopsida, Poales, Poaceae.